RNAcentral lists this ribosomal RNA (468 nucleotides) under uncultured bacterium. Its description in RNAcentral is "partial 16S ribosomal RNA". It matches the Rfam family "Bacterial small subunit ribosomal RNA", at positions 28 to 507 of the family's 1533-position model. The record is from RNAcentral.
GACGAACGCUGGCGGCGUGCUUAACACAUGCAAGUCGAACGGAAAGGCCCUGCUUUUGUGGGGUGCUCGAGUGGCGAACGGGUGAGUAACACGUGAGUAACCUGCCCUUGACUUUGGGAUAACUUCAGGAAACUGGGGCUAAUAUCGGAUAGGAUCUCCUGCUGCAUGGUGGGGGUUGGAAAGUUUCGGCGGUUGGGGAUGGACUCGCGGCUUAUCAGCUUGUUGGUGGGGUAGUGGCUUACCAAGGCUUUGACGGGUAGCCGGCCUGAGAGGGUGACCGGCCUCAUUGGUACUGAGAUACGGCCCAGACGCCUACGGGAGGCAGCAGUCGGGAAUAUUGCACAAUGGGCGGAAGCCUGAUGCAGCAACGCCGCGUGCGGGAUGACGGCCUUCGGGUUGUAAACCGCUUUCGCCUGUGACGAAGCGUGAUUGACGGUAAUGGGUAAAGAAGCACCGGCUAACUACGUG